UGGGGAAUAUUGGGCAAUGGGGGAAACCCUGACCCAGCAACGCCGCGUGAGGGAAGAAGGUUUUCGGAUUGUAAACCUCUGUAAUCGGGGACGAACAAAUGACGGUACCCGAUAAGAAAGCCCCGGCUAACUACGUGCCAGCAGCCGCGGUAAUACGUAGGGGGCAAGCGUUGUCCGGAAUUACUGGGCGUAAAGGGAGCGUAGGCGGUUUUUUAAGUCAGAUGUGAAAUACCCGGGCUCAACCCGGGGGGUGCAUUUGAAACUGGAGAACUUGAGUGUAGGAGAGGAAAGCGGAAUUCCUAGUGUAGCGGUGAAAUGCGUAGAUAUUAGGAGGAACACCAGUGGCGAAGGCGGCUUUCUGGACUAUAACUGACGCUGAGGCUCGAAAGCGUGGGGAGCAAACA
Molecule: ribosomal RNA, 404 nt
Filed under: uncultured Eubacteriales bacterium
Lineage: Bacteria; Bacillati; Bacillota; Clostridia; Eubacteriales
Description: uncultured Clostridiales bacterium partial 16S ribosomal RNA
Rfam family: Bacterial small subunit ribosomal RNA
Source: RNAcentral